UACGUAGGUGGCAAGCGUUGUCCGGAUUUAUUGGGUUUAAAGGGAUGCGUAGGCGGUCUUGAUUAAGUCAGUGCUGAAAUAUCCCGGCUUAACCGGGAGGGUGGCAUUGAUACGUGUAGGACUUGGAGUAGAGUUGAGGUUGGCGGAAUUGGACGGUGUAGCGGUGAAAUGCUUAGGAUAAUCGUCAAGAACACCGAUAG
Molecule: ribosomal RNA, 200 nt
Filed under: uncultured bacterium
Lineage: Bacteria
Description: partial 16S ribosomal RNA
Rfam family: Bacterial small subunit ribosomal RNA
Source: RNAcentral